This 83-nucleotide small RNA is filed under the name Marmota monax (woodchuck). Lineage: Eukaryota; Metazoa; Chordata; Mammalia; Rodentia; Sciuridae. The record is from RNAcentral.
GCUGGGUGUGGUAUUGCACACCUGUAAUCCUCGUGACUUGGGAGACUGAGGCAGGAGGAUUGCAGGUUCAAGCCCUGCCUCAG